UACAGAGGGGGCAAGCGUUGUUCGGAAUUACUGGGCGUAAAGGGCUCGCAGGCGGCCAACUAAGUCAGACGUGAAAUCCCUCGGCUUAACCGGGGAACUGCGUCUGAUACUGGAUGGCUUGAGUUUGGGAGAGGGAUGCGGAAUUCCAGGUGUAGCGGUGAAAUGCGUAGAUAUCUGGAGGAACACCGGUGGCGAAGGCGGCAUCCUGGACCAACACUGACGCUGAGUGAGCGAAAGCCAGGGGAGCAAACGGG
RNAcentral lists this ribosomal RNA (254 nucleotides) under uncultured bacterium. RNAcentral describes it as "partial 16S ribosomal RNA". It matches the Rfam family "Bacterial small subunit ribosomal RNA", at positions 524 to 776 of the family's 1533-position model. The record is from RNAcentral.